GACGAACGCCGGCGGCGCGCCUAACACAUGCAAGUCGAACGGAGCAAAGGGGAGCUUGCUUUUCUUUGCUUAGUGGCGAACGGGUGAGUAACGCGUGAGUAACCUGCCCUGGAGUGGGGGACAACAGUUGGAAACGACUGCUAAUACCGCAUAAGCCCACGGAGCCGCAUGGCUCUGAGGGAAAAGGAUUUAUUCGCUUCAGGAUGGACUCGCGUCCAAUUAGCUAGUUGGUGAGGUAACGGCCCACCAAGGCGACGAUUGGUAGCCGGACUGAGAGGUUGAACGGCCACAUUGGGACUGAGACACGGCCCAGACUCCUACGGGAGGCAGCAGUGGGGGAUAUUGCACAAUGGGGGAAACCCUGAUGCAGCGACGCCGCGUGGAGGAAGAAGGUUUUCGGAUUGUAAACUCCUGUCGUUAGGGACGAUAAAUGACGGUACCUAACAAGAAAGCACCGGCUAACUACGUGCCAGCAGCCGCCGCCGUAAC
RNAcentral lists this ribosomal RNA (489 nucleotides) under uncultured bacterium. RNAcentral describes it as "bacterial SSU rRNA". It matches the Rfam family "Bacterial small subunit ribosomal RNA", at positions 28 to 524 of the family's 1533-position model. The record is from RNAcentral.